This 961-nucleotide ribosomal RNA is filed under the name Steinernema carpocapsae. Its description in RNAcentral is "large subunit ribosomal RNA". The record is from RNAcentral. Lineage: Eukaryota; Metazoa; Nematoda; Chromadorea; Rhabditida; Steinernematidae.
AAUUUUUUAUUUUUUUAUUUUUUAGUAUUGCAUACUAUUAGAAGAAAUUUUUAUUUUUAUAAAAAAUAGAAACAAAGGGUAAAAGGAAAAUAUGGUUUUUUUGUUACAAAAAUAUUUUUAUUUUUCCUGGUUUUGAAAAAACGUUCUUUGUGAUAUCUUUUUUAUUUUUUUUCUAUUAGAAAAUUAUAGAUUUUUUUUUUUUCUAGGAAAUUAAAAAUUUGAAGUGUUUUAUGUUUAAGUUUUUUAACUUUUUCUUUUUUUGUAAUUUCUUUUUUUUUUAUUUUUGUUUAUUCUAAAACAAAUUUAUAAUUUCUAAAUUAGUAGGUUUAAAAAAUUCUAUUAUUUAUUAUAAUUUUAUUAGAGAACUAAGAAUCAGGAUCAAAUGUUUUUUAAAGACUUAGGUUUUUAUAUAAAGCUUGCUUCUGCCCCAUGAAUUUUUAUUUUUUAAAUGGCAGUCUUAGCGUGAGGACAUUAAGGUAGCAAAAUAAUUUGUGCUUUUAUUGGGUUCCAGUAUGAAUGAAGUUAUUGGUUGGUUAUAUUCUUUUAUUUUUUCUGAAUUUAAUUUUUGUUUAAAAAAAAACAAUUAUAAUUAAACAAAGAUAAGUCUUCGGAAAUUCUUUUUUUGUAAUUUCUUUUGUUUUUACAAAAAAUUUUCUAGGGCAGAAUUUUAUAUAAUUUUUUUUACUAAAAAUAAUUUAAUGAGUUACUCCGGAGUUAACAGAAAUUCAUAUUUUAUCCAGAUCUUAUGGUAUUAAUAAGUUUUACAUCGAUGUUGUAUUCCUAUAUUCUAAAAGAGGAGAGGGUUUAGUUUUUAAGACUGUUCUUCUUUUAAUUAAUAGGACUUGAUAUUAGUUUAAUUCAUUGUAAGAUAGAAUUGUUUAUCUUGUUAAUUAUUUUAUUUAACACAACUAGUACGAAAGGAAAGUUGUGAAAAUUUGAAAUUUUUCAAAUGUUUCUUUUU